GGCAGACGGGUGAGUAACACGUGGGUGACCUGCCCCCUAGACCGGGAUAACUAGUGGAAACACUGGCUAAUACCGGAUGACCUUAUAGUGUCGAAGCUAUAAGGAAAGGAUCUUCGGAUCCGCUGAGGGAGGGGCCCGCGGCCCAUCAGCUAGUUGGUGAGGUAAUGGCUCACUAAGGCAAAGACGGGUAGGGGGUGUGAGAGCACGGCCCCCCACAAUGGGACUGAGACACGGCCCAU
Molecule: ribosomal RNA, 239 nt
Filed under: uncultured bacterium
Lineage: Bacteria
Description: partial 16S ribosomal RNA
Rfam family: Bacterial small subunit ribosomal RNA
Source: RNAcentral